Molecule: ribosomal RNA, 497 nt
Filed under: uncultured bacterium
Lineage: Bacteria
Description: partial 16S ribosomal RNA
Rfam family: Bacterial small subunit ribosomal RNA
Source: RNAcentral
GACGAACGCUGGCGGCGUGCCUAAUACAUGCAAGUUGAGCGCUGAAGGUUGGUACUUGUACCAACUGGAUGAGCAGCGAACGGGUGAGUAACGCGUGGGGAAUCUGCCUUUGAGCGGGGGACAACAUUUGGAAACGAAUGCUAAUACCGCAUAAAAACUUUAAACACAAGUUUUAAGUUUGAAAGAUGCAAUUGCAUCACUCAAAGAUGAUCCCGCGUUGUAUUAGCUAGUUGGUGAGGUAAAGGCUCACCAAGGCGAUGAUACAUAGCCGACCUGGGAGGGUGCUCGGCCACAUUUGGACUGUGACACGGCCCAAACUCCUACGGGAGGCAGCAGUAGGGAAUCUUCGGCAAUGGACGAAAGUCUGACCGAGCAACGCCGCGUGAGUGAAGAAGGUUUUCGGAUCGUAAAACUCUGUUGGUAGAGAAGAACGUUGGUGAGAGUGGAAAGCUCAUCAAGUGACGGUAACUACCCAGAAAGGGACGGCUAACUACGUG